Molecule: long non-coding RNA, 2497 nt
Organism: Meleagris gallopavo (turkey)
Lineage: Eukaryota; Metazoa; Chordata; Aves; Galliformes; Phasianidae
Source: Ensembl
GAAACCAAAUAGCUAUAGUGAUGCCUUGGAAUUGAUUUUGUCUUUGUUUUGGAGUUGAUUUUCUCCCUGCCUCCCAACCCUUCCCCACCUCAUGGCUUUCCCAUCUAGGAAUCUUGUCUCAGCUUGCCUGUUCUUAAUGUGAUUUAAAAGACCAGAAAAAAAGAAAUCCUAGGUCUAUGUUGUUUUCUUGGUUUUGUUUUUGUUCUUUGCAAGGUGCCCUAUUUUUUACACAUUCUAUUUGGUUUGCAGCAUGAGGGUGCUUUGCAGGAGGCAAGAGCCAUGCCUAUUUUGGUUACUCAGGCUGAGAAGCUCUGUAGUCCUUAAUGCUCAGUACUGGAGGAACUACUGGCCCUUUGCAUUUCACACUGCUUGGUCUGCCAUGACAGGAAAGUCUGUGGUGUCCAGUUAUCCAAUGAUCCAUCAACAGUGAUCCACGUAGAGGAAAGAAUGCAACAGCAGAAAUGAUACUUGCAAAGAGUGAAGAUGUACAGAGAAACUGUGCAGGAAUCACAUGAUUACUGGAGAAAAACAAGUCCACACUAGUCCAUUAAAAACAGAAAGCUUCUUUUAUGGGAAAAUGCAUACUAGAAAUAGGAAAAAAAAAAAAAAAAAAAGGAUUAAAAAAAUAAAGUGCAUUAAAAAGAUAUUAUAUUGUAUCUACAAGAGUUUUCCUCUUAUAUUCAUCUUGCCUCUUCAGGGACUGUUUCUGGUUCUGUUUGUUUGAGAAAACCACCACAAGAGUGAAAAGAGCAGCCCUGGUUAGCCUUCCUGUGCACCUAUGUCUGCCUGGGCUGGCUGUAACAUUAGAGACAUCCCUCUUCCUAUUGUUGCUUUAUAAUAAACAGUUAGGUCCCGCCACCCAGAAGUUUUAGAAACCUGAAACUUUAGCCAAGGCAGAAAAUGAGCUACUGCUUUUGCUGAGUGCAGCCAGGGAUGUCAAUUUAAAAUGUGGGCUAACUCACAUUCUCUCCUAAAUACCACUGGGGAUUUGGUCCAGGUAUGUCGAUUGCACAGCACCUUGAAAUUGUCACCAGAAUAGCAACUGCUCAGGGUGUGGGGAUGUUUGGAGAUUGAGGUGGGAAACUGCAGAAACUGAUGGGAGCAGUGGGCUGGCUGAGUAACUGUUCAGACGAAGUCGUGGCUCCAUGUGUAGUGGUGCUACCUCAACACCACAAAGUCUGGUUUUGCCAAUACAGUUUUAAAGUUACUACCCAUUGGCAUACAUCCAGCUCUGGUUGCAAGGUUGACAAAACUGCCAAGUGGAGAAAUGGGCCAGUUUUUUUCUGUCUUUCAUGAUAUGCCACAGAACUACAAAUUCUAUAGGAAAGGAGUGCAUAAAAACAUUACUUUGUUCUCAGUCCUCUCACUCUUCAUCUGGUGCUAUAAAACACAAAAUGGCUCUUUAAAAGUGAUAGCUGUUUAGCUCUUUUCCUUGCUUCCAGCAGGCUGCUCUUCCCUUUUCUGGGCCUCAAAUACUGUUGUUUUUUUUUCCCCCUUGUCUUACUGAAGAACGUAUAUUUUGCAUUGGAGUACAACAAAUGCUUAAAAAAAAAAAAAAAAAAAAAAAUUGAAGUUUUUGCUGUCCACAAAUGACAGAUCGUUAAUAAUCCAUAACACACAGGCUGUAUAUCUGCUGUUACUGCUCUGAGGUCAACUGGCCCUGGUAAAGCAGGAAAUAAAGGGAAAGCUUCAGUGAACAAGAACAAAAGGCUUCUAUAAGCCAGUAAAGUCGAAGCGAACUCCAAGCCACUAUUCCCAAGAAAUGCAAAAUUUGGCUCCAUUUAUAUUUCUCUUUCAAUGAGCACAUUCAUCACUUUGGAAAAAAGCCAGCAUACAGGGGUGUUCCUUACAAUACAUCCCUCAAGCAGCGAGUCUUCCUCAUCAGCAUCCUGACAGUCUGUGACUGCUACAGCUCUUUCUCCUCCAUAGGUAAAUCACAAAACUACAGCAUGAGCUGAGGCUGGCAGGGUCCUCUGUAUCUGUCUGCUCCAACCUCUUUACAGGUAGGGCCACCCAGAGCAGGCAGCUUCUGAAGAUCUCCAAGGAGGAGACCCAUAGCCUGUACAGGAAAUAUGUACCAGCACUCCAUGCAGCACUUCAUGGUGUUCAGAGGGAACCUCCUGUACUUCAAUUUCAUAGAAUGAUAGAAUGGCUUUGGUUGAAAGGGACCAUAAAACCCAUUUAGUUCCAAAUGCCCAGCAUUUCUUGGGAGGGGUUGAUAUCCACUAGUUCAGGCUGCCUCAGGCCCCAUCCAACCUGGCCUUGAACACCUCCAGGGAUGAGGCAUCCACAACUUCUCUGCACAGCCUGUUUCAGCACUUCACCACAGUUUGAGUGAAGAAUUUCCUCCCAGUAUCUAAAUCUCCCCAUUUUACUUUAAAGCCAUUCCCCUUGCCCUAUUGCUAUCAGCCUCCAUCAUUCUCCCUCCUGUUCAUAAGCUCCCUUUAAGUACUGGAAGGCUGCCAUCAGGUCUCCCUGGAGCUUUCUCUUUUCCAGA